Molecule: ribosomal RNA, 292 nt
Filed under: uncultured bacterium
Lineage: Bacteria
Description: partial 16S ribosomal RNA
Source: RNAcentral
GGACUACAAGGGUUUCUAAUCCUGUUUGAUCCCCUUGCUUUCGCGCCUCAGCGUCAGGUGUAAGCUAGAAAACCGCCUUCGCCACCGGUGUUCUUCCACAUAUCUACGCAUUUCACCGCUACUUGUGGAAUUCCGUUUUCUCCGCCUACCCUCAAGGGUUGCAGUUUCAAAUGCUGUUCCGAGGUUGAGCCCCGGGAUUUCACAUCUGACUUACAAUCCCGCCUACGCGCCCUUUACGCCCAAUAAAUCCGAUUAAUGCUUGCACCCUCCGUAUUACCGCGGCGGCUGGCAC